CGAACGCUGGCGGCGUGCUUAACACAUGCAAGUCGAGCGGUAAGGCCCCUUCGGGGGUACACGAGCGGCGAACGGGUGAGUAACACGUGAGCAAUCUGCCCAUCACAUCGGGAUAACUCCGGGAAACCGAAGCUAAUACCGAAUACGACCACCUCCGGCAUCGGAUGGUGGUGGAAAGUUCCGGCGGUGAUGGAUGAGCUCGCGGCCUAUCAGCUUGUUGGUGGGGUAACGGCCCACCAAGGCUUCGACGGGUAGCCGGCCUGAGAGGGUGACCGGCCACACUGGGACUGAGACACGGCCCAGACUCCUACGGGAGGCAGCAGUGGGGAAUAUUGGACAAUGGGCGAAAGCCUGAUCCAGCAACGCCGCGUGAGGGAUGACGGCCUUCGGGUUGUAAACCUCUUUCAGCAGGGACGAAGCGCAAGUGACGGUACCUGCAGAAGAAGCACCGGCCAACUACGUG
RNAcentral lists this ribosomal RNA (463 nucleotides) under uncultured bacterium. RNAcentral's name for it is "partial 16S ribosomal RNA". It matches the Rfam family "Bacterial small subunit ribosomal RNA", at positions 30 to 507 of the family's 1533-position model. The record is from RNAcentral.